CGAAGUAGGAAACGGCGCGUUAAGUUGUCAGCGGCUGGGGAGUCGCCCUGAACCGAAAAGUCCAAAAAGAAGUAAGGACUUGCGAUGCUGUUUUCGCACCCGUUG
This 105-nucleotide non-coding RNA is filed under the name bovine gut metagenome. Its description in RNAcentral is "THF riboswitch". It matches the Rfam family "THF (Tetrahydrofolate) riboswitch aptamer". Rfam says of the family: THF riboswitch presents a pseudoknot that joins P1-P2 and the loop of P3 and two THF binding. The record is from RNAcentral.